CGCGACCCCAGGUCAGGCGGGGCUACCCGCUGAGUUUAAGCAUAUCAAUAAGCGGAGGAAAAGAAACUAACGAGGAUUCCCCUAGUAACCGCGGGCAUACUAGGGAAUU
RNAcentral lists this ribosomal RNA (109 nucleotides) under Acacia victoriae subsp. arida. Its description in RNAcentral is "partial large subunit ribosomal RNA". It matches the Rfam family "Eukaryotic large subunit ribosomal RNA", at positions 1 to 106 of the family's 3401-position model. Lineage: Eukaryota; Viridiplantae; Streptophyta; Magnoliopsida; Fabales; Fabaceae. The record is from RNAcentral.